This 497-nucleotide ribosomal RNA is filed under the name uncultured bacterium. Its description in RNAcentral is "partial 16S ribosomal RNA". It matches the Rfam family "Bacterial small subunit ribosomal RNA", at positions 28 to 507 of the family's 1533-position model. The record is from RNAcentral.
GAUGAACGCUGGCGGCGUGCCUAAUACAUGCAAGUCGAGCGAACGGACGAGAAGCUUGCUUCUCUGAUGUUAGCGGCGGACGGGUGAGUAACACGUGGAUAACCUACCUAUAAGACUGGGAUAACUUCGGGAAACCGGAGCUAAUACCGGAUAAUAUUUUGAACCGCAUGGUUCAAAAGUGAAAGACGGUUUUGCUGUCACUUAUAGAUGGAUCCGCGCUGCAUUAGCUAGUUGGUAAGGUAACGGCUUACCAAGGCAACGAUGCAUAGCCGACCUGAGAGGGUGAUCGGCCACACUGGAACUGAGACACGGUCCAGACUCCGACGGGAGGCAGCAGUAGGGAAUCUUCCGCAAUGGGCGAAAGCCUGACGGAGCAACGCCGCGUGAGUGAUGAAGGUCUUCGGAUCGUAAAACUCUGUUAUUAGGGAAGAACAUAUGUGUAAGUAACUGUGCACGUCUUGACGGUACCUAAUCAGAAAGCCACGGCUAACUACGUG